AACUUGAAGAACAGAAGGAGGAGACUUAAAGGCUUUACAACACUUUUGAGCUCUUAGAAUCACAGAAAAGAUCAAGAUUUUGGUGUAGGUCUGUAUCUUUUCAGUGCUGAAUGGGUGGGGUAUUUAUAGGCCCCAACCCAGUUCAAAUUUGGAGCUCAAAACGAUCAAAUCCCGAAAUUCCGGGAUCAGGCGGUUGCACCUCUUGACUGGAGAGGUUGCACCGCCUGGCAGAGCUCGAAGACCGAGCUCAAUCAGGCGGUUGCACCUCUUGACUGGAGAGGUUGCACCGCCUGGCAGAGCUCGAAG
Molecule: long non-coding RNA, 306 nt
Filed under: Musa acuminata (dwarf banana)
Lineage: Eukaryota; Viridiplantae; Streptophyta; Magnoliopsida; Zingiberales; Musaceae
Description: long non-coding RNA (MACU_LNC009281)
Source: RNAcentral